UACGUAGGGUGCGAGCGUUGUCCGGAAUUAUUGGGCGUAAAGAGCUUGUAGGUGGCUCGUUGCGUCGGGAGUGAAAACCCGCGGCUUAACCGCGGGCCUGCUUCCGAUACGGGCGAGCUAGAGUUCGGCAGGGGAGACUGGAAUUCCUGGUGUAGCGGUGGAAUGCGCAGAUAUCAGGAAGAACACCCGUGGCUAAGGCGGCUCUCUAGUACGGUACUGACGCUGAGACGCGAAAGCGUGGGGAGCGAACAGG
Molecule: ribosomal RNA, 253 nt
Filed under: uncultured bacterium
Lineage: Bacteria
Description: partial 16S ribosomal RNA
Rfam family: Bacterial small subunit ribosomal RNA
Source: RNAcentral